Molecule: ribosomal RNA, 40 nt
Filed under: Capsicum chinense x Capsicum frutescens
Lineage: Eukaryota; Viridiplantae; Streptophyta; Magnoliopsida; Solanales; Solanaceae
Also listed under: 1 other name
Description: partial 26S ribosomal RNA
Source: RNAcentral
GCGACCCCAGGUCAGGCGGGAUUACCCGCUGAGUUUAAGC